UACGGAGGGGGCUAGCGUUGUUCGGAAUUACUGGGCGUAAAGGGCGCGUAGGUGGCGCUCCAAGUCCGUGGUGAAAGCUCGAUGCUCAACAUCGAGUCGGCCACGGAGACUGGAGGGCUCGAGCACUGUAGGGGCAGAUGGAAUUCCGGGUGUAGCGGUGGAAUGCGUAGAGAUCCGGAAGAACACCGGUGGCGAAGGCGGUCUGCUGGGCAGUUGCUGACACUGAGGCGCGACAGCGUGGGGAGCAAACAGG
RNAcentral lists this ribosomal RNA (253 nucleotides) under uncultured bacterium. Its description in RNAcentral is "partial 16S ribosomal RNA". It matches the Rfam family "Bacterial small subunit ribosomal RNA", at positions 524 to 776 of the family's 1533-position model. The record is from RNAcentral.